UCGGGUGUCCAGGCGCCAGAUCCGAAGCGAAUGUCUUCGGCUGGUAGCUCAUGGGUGGAACAUUGACAUUGGUGCAGCAGGAACCGGUCUGGUUCGAGUACGCCUCCUCUUGAGGGGGUUGGAAAGGGUCGGGUCGGGGAGGGUUGCACGUGCACGCUGUUGGGUCCUGAGGGACCGGGCCGGCACCGUAGGGUGUGGGACUGAACCUCUGGACCUUUUCCUGGUUUCCCGUUUCGGGGGAUCGUGGGGAGGGUACCGCCCGUACUUUGAGAACUACACAGUGGACGCGAGCAUCUUAGAUUCAGGCUUCGGCCUGGAUCACAAGAUCUGAUUUAUUUAGAUCAUUGGUCAAUCUGCGUCGGAUCGUCUUUCGGGAGGGUUCGGCGUCGAUCGAUUCAUACUCAUGUGAU
RNAcentral lists this unclassified non-coding RNA (410 nucleotides) under uncultured Microbacteriaceae bacterium. RNAcentral describes it as "partial 16S-23S ribosomal RNA intergenic spacer". Lineage: Bacteria; Bacillati; Actinomycetota; Actinomycetes; Micrococcales; Microbacteriaceae. The record is from RNAcentral.